This 516-nucleotide ribosomal RNA is filed under the name Amolops daiyunensis (Daiyun torrent frog). RNAcentral describes it as "partial 12S ribosomal RNA". It matches the Rfam family "Bacterial small subunit ribosomal RNA", at positions 794 to 1533 of the family's 1533-position model. Lineage: Eukaryota; Metazoa; Chordata; Amphibia; Anura; Ranidae. The record is from RNAcentral.
GCCUAGCCGUAAACAAUUAACUUACACUAAUAAACGCCAGGGAACUACGAGCCAUGCUUAAAACCCAAAGGACUUGACGGUGUCCCAUUCCCCCUAGAGGAGCCUGUUCUAUAAUCGAUGACCCCCGCUAUACCUAACCAUCCCUUGCUUUAUCAGCCUGUAUACCUCCGUCAUAAGCUUACCAUGUGAACGUUAAUAGUAAGCCCAAUGGUUAACCCAAACCGACAUGUCAGGUCAAGGUGCAGCUCACGGAAUGGAAAGUAAUGGGCUACAAUUUCUAACAUAGAACAAACGGAAGGUCAUGUGAAACCAUGGCCAUGAAGGCGGAUUUAGUAGUAAAAAGAAAAUAGAGUGUUCUUUUUAACGCGGUUCUGGGACGCGUACACACCGCCCGUCACCCUCUUCAAUAGCUUUUAAUCGAGAUUUAUAACCCCAUAUUUGCAUUUUAGAAGAGGCAAGUCGUAACAUGGUAAGUGUACUGGAAAGUGCACUUGGUAACAACAAAAUAUAGCUUAA